AGGGAACACAUCUGAGGAGAUCAAUCUGUCAUUAUAAUUAAUGGUUGUCAGCCACUUCUUUCUCUCUAGACUAUCUUCCUCAGUGCCUUCCCAGCUCCACAAGGGACCUUUCCCACACUCUGGCCUUGUGCCUGGCUCAUCUCCAUUGCUACCAGCUGGAGUUCCUGGGAGGAUAUACUCAACCUCAGUCAGGGUGAGGUAUAGAUGUGCUUGUAAUAAAUAUUUAAAGGAUACAUCAAGAACAAAAGCUCAGGAGAGACUUCACCUUCAGCUUUGAUGAAUUCACUCAGUGGAAAACACAAGGAGGAAAACUGAGUUAGAGCAAUGUCCAGUUUGUAUGCAAAGUAGAGCAUGGGACACCAUCAAAGCUGUGCCUCCCAUCAUUUGAUGGGGGAGAGAAAUGGGUCUGUCUGGCCUACUGAGUGGCCAGAGAAAGGAGUCAUGGGCAAAAAGCCUAGCACUAGGGCUUUCUAAUUCCUCAAUUCAUUACAUCGGUGAUCUUGCAUUUUUUUAAGCAACUGUUUUGCAGCAGAGCAAUACAGAUAAUGUAUUUUAAGCACAACUGGUUUCAGUUCUCCCCUGGAUGUACUGAAACCUUCGUAUGUGUGAUUUUGAUAGCAUCUCAUCAGAGCUAUGAAUCCGUCUCGCUCUAGAAAUCAGGAAAAUCAAUUUUGUGGGUGUUAACUGUAAUAAAAAAAAUUCAACUCAUGGUAUUCAAAA
Molecule: long non-coding RNA, 720 nt
Organism: Pogoniulus pusillus (Red-fronted tinkerbird)
Lineage: Eukaryota; Metazoa; Chordata; Aves; Piciformes; Lybiidae
Exons: 2
Source: RefSeq, a predicted model, not a curated record